This 492-nucleotide ribosomal RNA is filed under the name uncultured bacterium. Its description in RNAcentral is "partial 16S ribosomal RNA". It matches the Rfam family "Bacterial small subunit ribosomal RNA", at positions 29 to 507 of the family's 1533-position model. The record is from RNAcentral.
AGUGAACGCUGGCGGUAGGCCUAACACAUGCAAGUCGAACGGCAGCACACUACGAUCUUGCUCUUACGGGUGGCGAGUGGCGGACGGUUGAUGACUACAUCGGAAUCUACUUUUUCGUGGGGGAUCACGUAGGGAAACUUACGCUAAUACCGCAUCCUACCUACGGGUGAAAGCCGGGGAUCUUCGGACCUUGCGCGAUUGAAUGUGCCGAUGUCGGAUUAGUUAGUUGGCGGGCUAAUGGCCCAACAAGGCGACGAUCGGUAGCUGGUCUGCGAGGCGGAAUAGGCACAUGGGAAGUGAGAAAGGUUACAGACACCUGAGGGAGGAAGCAGUGGAGAAUAUUGGACAAUGGGGGAGAGCCUGAUACAGGCAUACCGCGUGGGGGAAGAAGGCGUUAUGGUGGGAAAGUCCAUUUGGUGGGAGAGAAAAGCAGCAGGUUAAGACGCCGCGGUGCUGACGGUACCCAAAGAAGAAGCACCGGCUAACUUCGUG